Molecule: ribosomal RNA, 387 nt
Filed under: uncultured Streptococcus sp.
Lineage: Bacteria; Bacillati; Bacillota; Bacilli; Lactobacillales; Streptococcaceae
Description: bacterial SSU rRNA
Rfam family: Bacterial small subunit ribosomal RNA
Source: RNAcentral
UGCUAUUUCUAGAGAUAGAAGUUACUUCGGUACAUCGGUGACAGGUGGUGCAUGGUUGUCGUCAGCUCGUGUCGUGAGAUGUUGGGUUAAGUCCCGCAACGAGCGCAACCCCUAUUGUUAGUUGCCAUCAUUCAGUUGGGCACUCUAGCGAGACUGCCGGUAAUAAACCGGAGGAAGGUGGGGAUGACGUCAAAUCAUCAUGCCCCUUAUGACCUGGGCUACACACGUGCUACAAUGGUUGGUACAACGAGUUGCGAGUCGGUGACGGCGAGCUAAUCUCUUAAAGCCAAUCUCAGUUCGGAUUGUAGGCUGCAACUCGCCUACAUGAAGUCGGAAUCGCUAGUAAUCGCGGAUCAGCACGCCGCGGUGAAUACGUUCCCGGGCCUU